This 495-nucleotide ribosomal RNA is filed under the name uncultured soil bacterium. Its description in RNAcentral is "bacterial SSU rRNA". It matches the Rfam family "Bacterial small subunit ribosomal RNA", at positions 26 to 513 of the family's 1533-position model. The record is from RNAcentral.
AGAUUGAACGCUGGCGGCAUGCCUUACACAUGCAAGUCGAACGGCAGCACGGGGGCAACCCUGGUGGCGAGUGGCGAACGGGUGAGUAAUAUAUCGGAACGUACCCUUGAGUGGGGGAUAACGCAGCGAAAGUUGCGCUAAUACCGCAUACGAUCUACGGAUGAAAGUGGGGGAUUCGCAAGGACCUCAUGCUCGUGGAGCGGCCGAUAUCUGAUUAGCUAGUUGGUAGGGUAAAAGCCUACCAAGGCAUCGAUCAGUAGCUGGUCUGAGAGGACGACCAGCCACACUGGGACUGAGACACGGCCCAGACUCCUACGGGAGGCAGCAGUGGGGAAUUUUGGACAAUGGGGGCAACCCUGAUCCAGCAAUGCCGCGUGAGUGAAGAAGGCUUGGUGUAAGCUCUUUGUCAGGAAGAACGGUGUAUUUCUAAUACGGUACUUGACUAAUGUACGGUACCUAGAAGAAAUAAGACCACGACUAACUACGUCGCCAGCA